AGUGAACGUUGGCGGCGUGGAUUAGGCAUGCAAGUCGAGCGAUCGUAGCAAUACGGGAGCGGCAAACGGGGGUAGGAAUACAUCGGAACGUACCUUUUGGUUGAGAAUAGCGUUGGGAAACUGACGGUAAUACUCAAUAAAGUCGAGAGACCAAAGGUUUAACUGCCGGAAGAGCGGCCGAUGCGAUAUUAGGUAGUUGGUGGGGUAAUGGCCUACCAAGCCUGAGAUGUCUAGGGGGUGUGAGAGCAUGGCCCCCACCACUGGGACUGAGAUACUGCCCAGACACCUACGGGUGGCUGCAGUCGAGGAUCUUCGUCAAUGGGCGAAAGCCUGAACGAGCGACGCCGCGUGCGGGAUGAAGGCCCUUGGGUUGUAAACCGCUGUCAGGGGGAUGAAACCGUAAGGUUGACAGAGCCCCAGAGGAAGCACGGGCUAAGUUCGUGCCAGCAGCCGCGGUAAU
Molecule: ribosomal RNA, 460 nt
Filed under: uncultured bacterium
Lineage: Bacteria
Description: bacterial SSU rRNA
Rfam family: Bacterial small subunit ribosomal RNA
Source: RNAcentral